UACGGAAGGCAGCAGUGGGGAAUAUUGCACAAUGGGCGCAAGCCUGAUGCAGCCAUGCCGCGUGUAUGAAGAAGGCCUUCGGGUUGUAAAGUACUUUUCAGUCGUGAGGAAGGUGUUAAGGUUAAUAACCUUAGCAAUUGACGUUAGCGACAGAAGAAGCACCGGCUAACUCCGUGCCAGCAGCCGCGGUAAUACGGAGGGUGCGAGCGUUAAUCGGAAUUACUGGGCGUAAAGGGCACGCAGGCGGUUAAUUAAGUUGGAUGUGAAAUCCCCGGGCUUAACCUGGGAAUGGCAUUCAAGACUGGUUAGCUAGAGUCUUGUAGAGGGGGUAGAAUUCCAUGUGUAGCGGUGAAAUGCGUAGAGAUGUGGAGGAAUACCGGUGGCGAAGGCGGCCCCUGGGACAAAGGACUGACGCUCAUGUGCGAAAGCGUGGGGAGCAAACAGGGAUUAGAUACC
Molecule: ribosomal RNA, 456 nt
Filed under: uncultured bacterium
Lineage: Bacteria
Description: bacterial SSU rRNA
Rfam family: Bacterial small subunit ribosomal RNA
Source: RNAcentral